CGCGCAGGUGGUGCGGUAAGGCUGCCGUGAAAUCUCCCGGCUCAACUGGGAGGGUGCGGUGGCGACUGCCGGACUGGAGGCACUCAGAGGCCGGUGGAAUUCCCGGUGUAGUGGUGAAAUGCGUAGAGAUCGGGAGGAACACCAGUGGCGAAGGCGGCCGGCUGGGGGUGACCUGACGCUGAGGCGCGAAAGCGUGGGGAGCGAACCGGAUUAGAUACCCGGGUAGUCCACGUCGUAAACGAUGGCCACUAGCUGCGGGGGGUAUCGACCCCCUCCGUGGCGAAGCAAACGCGGUAAGUGGCCCGCCUGGGGAGUACGGCCGCAAGGCUAAA
This 332-nucleotide ribosomal RNA is filed under the name uncultured bacterium. Its description in RNAcentral is "bacterial SSU rRNA". It matches the Rfam family "Bacterial small subunit ribosomal RNA", at positions 568 to 898 of the family's 1533-position model. The record is from RNAcentral.